GACGGAGGGUGCGAGCGUUGUUCGGAAUUACUGGGCGUAAAGGGCGCGUAGGCGGCAAUUCAAGUCAGCUGUGAAAUCUCCGGGCUUAACUCGGAACGGUCAGCUGAUACUGCUCUGCUAGAGUGCAGAAGGGGCAAUCGGAAUUCUUGGUGUAGCGGUGAAAUGCGUAGAUAUCAAGAGGAACACCUGAGGUGAAGACGGGUUGCUGGGCUGACACUGACGCUGAGGCGCGAAGGCGUGGGGAGCGAACGGG
Molecule: ribosomal RNA, 253 nt
Filed under: uncultured bacterium
Lineage: Bacteria
Description: partial 16S ribosomal RNA
Rfam family: Bacterial small subunit ribosomal RNA
Source: RNAcentral